Long non-coding RNA from Anas platyrhynchos (mallard), 483 nucleotides. RefSeq lists it as uncharacterized. The record is from RefSeq and is a predicted model, not a curated record. NCBI's taxonomy places the organism in Eukaryota, Metazoa, Chordata, Aves, Anseriformes, Anatidae.
UGGAUGUGUGGAUAAAUUGUCCAUGGAGAAACCUGGGAAAUGGUUGCACCUUCUGACGUCCCACACUCUGGAGGCCAGAUUUGGGUCACUGGCGGCAUAUCUGAUUCUCCAAGACCGUUCUCACCUUUUCAUCUGCUGGCUGAAAAUCCUCAUUUCCUCCAGUGAGACAUCACAGGUUCCAUCGGAAGCAGCCCUGCUCAAACUGAGAAAGUAUUUUCCUCUCCUGUGGAUAAAUGUUUUAUAGAUGUGUUACCAAACAAACAACAAAACAAGGCAGUGUAACACAAUGCAAACAUGGAGAAACUCUGCCAUUUAUUCUAGCUCUUUAUGAUUUAUAGCUGUUUCUGAGAUCAGACCAUUCACCAAUGUCUCCUCCUUAUACCAUAACCCAGUAAACUCAUUUCCAGUAAAGCACCUACCCAUGCAAUUACCUGCUAGUAUGUGAUUAAAAGCUUGACGUUUAUUAGGAUACACAAUUUUAAA